AUGUUUCAUGAUUUUCACCUACCAAAUUCCAAACACAGAAUCCUUUGGAAACUUAAGGCUUCUAACACGAAUAUAUUCCUCAACUUCCAGAAGCAUAUAGAACAAGGUCAGAGUGUCUUUUCCAUCCUAUCCAGAACGGUCGGUCUGUUUGGAAGCCCUGUGCUACGCAAGGCACAGUUCCUCACUAUGCAGCAAAACCAAUAUCACAAAGGGCAUGAUGAAGUCCUAUCCUACUGUGAUGACACAGAACCACCAUUUCCUCAAGAUCCCAAGCCACAUCACUACCACCUGAGAUCUCUGUCCACUCUAGCUUCUGCCAACUGCUUCAGAAGCAGAAACAGAACAACGAACCACAGUGAUAUAAUGGAUAUUCGGCUGCAUAAAAUAAGGCACACUGCAACUUCAGUGUUCCAUAUGGGAGGUCCAGCUCCAAGAACAUCUUCCAGAAACUAUUUAUGGCACUUGUACAAUGAAGGGAGCUCUCCCUUGAGAAUUAAGUCUUUAAAUGUCAAUAUAGAUUACCAUAGAAUGAAACAUUGAAAUUUGACAGCAAUUAUAAGUAUUCUUGAGUAAGCUGAUUGAUUAAUUAUAAAGACUGCAAAAGAA
RNAcentral lists this long non-coding RNA (606 nucleotides) under Cricetulus griseus (Chinese hamster). Its description in RNAcentral is "lncRNA (ENSCGRG00000024565.1)". Lineage: Eukaryota; Metazoa; Chordata; Mammalia; Rodentia; Cricetidae. The record is from RNAcentral.